RNAcentral lists this transfer RNA (75 nucleotides) under Candidatus Competibacteraceae bacterium. RNAcentral's name for it is "tRNA-Gly". It matches the Rfam family "tRNA". Rfam says of the family: Transfer RNA (tRNA) molecules are approximately 80 nucleotides in length. Their secondary structure includes four short double-helical elements and three loops (D, anti-codon, and T loops). Lineage: Bacteria; Pseudomonadati; Pseudomonadota; Gammaproteobacteria; Candidatus Competibacteraceae. The record is from RNAcentral.
GUGAGAGUCGCCUAAUUGGCUAUGGCAUCUGCCUUCCAAGCAGAAAUAAUACGGGUUCAAGUCCCGUCUCUCACG